UAGGGAAUCUUCCGCAAUGGGCGAAAGCCUGACGGAGCAACGCCGCGUGAGUGAUGAAGGUCUUCGGAUCGUAAAACUCUGUUAUUAGGGAAGAACAAAUGUGUAAGUAACUAUGCACGUCUUGACGUUACCUAAUCAGAAAGCCACGGCUAACUACGUGCCAGCAGCCGCGGUAAUACGUAGGUGGCAAGCGUUCUCCGGAAUUAUUGGGCGUAAAGCGCGCGUAGGCGGUUUUUUAAGUCUGAUGUGAAAGCCCACGGAUCAACCGUGGAGGGUCAUUGGCAACUGGAAAACUUGAGUGCAGAAGAGGAAAGUGGAAUUCCAUGUGUAGCGGUGAAAUGCGCAGAGAUAUGGCGGAACACCAGUGGCGAAGGCGACUUUCUGGUCUGUAACUGACGCUGAUGUGCGAAAGCGUGGGGAUCAAACAGG
This 429-nucleotide ribosomal RNA is filed under the name Actinomycetes bacterium. RNAcentral describes it as "Actinobacteria bacterium partial 16S ribosomal RNA". It matches the Rfam family "Bacterial small subunit ribosomal RNA", at positions 355 to 776 of the family's 1533-position model. The record is from RNAcentral. Lineage: Bacteria; Bacillati; Actinomycetota; Actinomycetes.